ACUCAAAGGAAUAGACGGGGGCCCGCACAAGCAGUGGAGUAUGUGGUUUAAUUCGAAGCAACGCGAAGAACCUUACCAGGUCUUGACAUCCAACUAACGAAGUAGAGAUACAUUAGGUGCCCUUCGGGGAAAGUUGAGACAGGUGGUGCAUGGUUGUCGUCAGCUCGUGUCGUGAGAUGUUGGGUUAAGUCCCGCAACGAGCGCAACCCUUGCUAUUAGUUGCUACGCAAGAGCACUCUAAUAGGACUGCCGUUGACAAAACGGAGGAAGGUGGGGACGACGUCAAAUCAUCAUGCCCCUUAUGACCUGGGCUACACACGUACUACAAUGGAUGUUAACAGAGGGAAGCAAGACAGCGAUGUGGAGCAAACCCCUAAAAACAUUCUCAGUUCAGAUUGCAGGCUGCAACCCGCCUGCAUGAAGAUGGAAUUGCUAGUAAUCGCGGAUCAGCAUGCCGCGGUGAAUACGUUCCCGGGCCUUGUACACACCGCCCGU
This 495-nucleotide ribosomal RNA is filed under the name uncultured bacterium. Its description in RNAcentral is "bacterial SSU rRNA". It matches the Rfam family "Bacterial small subunit ribosomal RNA", at positions 899 to 1397 of the family's 1533-position model. The record is from RNAcentral.